AGGCUUGUAGCUCAGUGGUAGAGCAUCUGCCUUGCAUCCAGAAGGUCCCAGGUUCAAUCCCAGGUGGGGCUG
This is a non-coding RNA of Podarcis lilfordi (Lilford's wall lizard), 72 nucleotides long. Lineage: Eukaryota; Metazoa; Chordata; Lepidosauria; Squamata; Lacertidae. The record is from the annotation of a GenBank genome assembly.